UGGAAGUAAAGUCGUAACAAGGUUUCCGUAGGUGAACCUGCGGAAGGAUCAUUAAUAAAUUUUUUUUUGAAAUAAAAAAAGAAUAAUAAUCAUCCUACCCUUUGUGAAUUUGUUUUGUUGAAUAAUUUUUUAAAAUUAUUUAUUGUCUAUCCAAGUUGGAAAGUUGUAAAAGACUAGAGGACUUGGAGCGGCAUAAAUAAAUUUAAAGACUUUUUUCUAAAAUUAAACUUUUUGUAUUCAUUUGUCUAAAGUAAUUUUUAUAAUAUAUAAAAACAACUUUUGACAAUGGAUCUCUUGGUUCUCGCAACGAUGAAGAACGCAACAAAAUGCGAUAAGUAAUGUGAAUUGCAGAAUACGUGAAUCAUCGAAUCUUCGAACGCAUAUUGCACUUUUUUAGUUUACUAAAAAGUAUGUCUGUUUGAGUAUCAGUAAAAUAUUCUCAUAAAAUUUUUUAAUUUUAUGGUUAUGAGUGUUUUACAACGAUAAACAAGUUGUUUCACUUUAAAUUGAAUUUUUUUGAAGAAAUUCUUUAAUUCAAAUUAAAUUUGGAUAAAAUUUUCCCGUAAAAGGGAAUAACUAUACAAGUUUAAUAAGAAUUUAGUGAUUUCUUUUAUGAAAAGGAAAUUUAUUAAAUAACUUGAUCUCAAAUCAGAUAAGAGUACCCGCUGAACUUAAGCAUAUCAAUAAGCGGAGGAAAAGAAACUAACAAGGAUUCCCCUAGUAACGGCGAGUGAAGCGGGAAGAGCUCAAAUUUGAAAUCUUAAAGGGUUUCCCUUUACGAAUUGUAGUUUAAAGAAGUGUUUUCUGUUGAGGUUUUGGUAAAAGUUCUUUGGAAUAGGACAUCAUAGAGGGUGAGAAUCCCGUAUUUGACCUUUACUUUCAACUUUGUGAUACACUUUCAAAGAGUCGGAUUGUUUGGGAAUGCAGUCCAAAAUGGGUGGUAAAUUUCAUCUAAAGCUAAAUAUUGGCGAGAGACCGAUAGCGAACAAGUACCGUGAGGGAAAGAUGAAAAGAACUUUGAAAAAAGAGUUAAACAGUACGUGAAAUUGUCAAAAGGGAAGCGUUUGACACCAGUGUUGUUUUUCUGAAAAUCAAUUAAAGAACUGUUUAUGCUAAGUUGUUUAGACUUUAUCAGCUAACUGUUUAGUUUUGAGCUUUUCAUUAAUGCACUUUUCAGUUAACAAGUCAACAUCAAUUUCUUUUGCUGUAAAAAAGCUUGAGGAAGGUGGCUUGAGAUUCGUCUUAAGUGUUUAUAGCCUCUUGCCUAUGCAGUCGGAGAGAUUGAGGUCUGCAGCGUAGAUCCUUCGGGCUAAAUGCAUUUGUGCUAAGUUAUAGCAUUUUAUAGACAACUUGUUGACUAUGAUUUGUCUUGUAGCUUACUCGCUUAUGUUAUUUUACCUACGCUUAGGAUGU
Molecule: unclassified non-coding RNA, 1413 nt
Filed under: uncultured Neocallimastigales
Lineage: Eukaryota; Fungi; Neocallimastigomycota; Neocallimastigomycetes; Neocallimastigales
Description: partial contains small subunit ribosomal RNA, internal transcribed spacer 1, 5.8S ribosomal RNA, internal transcribed spacer 2, and large subunit ribosomal RNA
Rfam family: Eukaryotic large subunit ribosomal RNA (bases 639-1413)
Source: RNAcentral